RNAcentral lists this long non-coding RNA (378 nucleotides) under Elaeis guineensis (African oil palm). RNAcentral's name for it is "long non-coding RNA (EGUI_LNC021702)". The record is from RNAcentral. Lineage: Eukaryota; Viridiplantae; Streptophyta; Magnoliopsida; Arecales; Arecaceae.
AGCUAAGGAGUAAGGCUUGCAAGGUGUUACCAUUUUGAUAGUCUCGAUAUUCUGAUCAGGAUGUGUCCAUAUAGAUAUCAGUAGAGGUCGGAUGCUUGCGCAGCUAUGACGAAAAUUUCGAGCAUCCACAGGAUUCGAUCCAAGUAAGAAGAGAGAUUGCGGUUCAGGUAUAAUCAAUCUUCCUUUUCUAUUUUAAUUUCAAAUCUAUUUAUGAAAUUUAUUUAUGCAUAUUAUUUAAUCCUUAGGUGAUUUAGAUUUGAUCUACAUGCUUUUAUAUGAAAAUAGUUUUCAUAUUUGCUUCCACUAGGUUAAAGUAACCGACAAAAUAUUUUUUGCAUGCCUAAUCACCUGAAAACCAACAAAGAGAGCACUUAAGGG